GGGCCGUGCAGCUCCUGCCCCGGUUUACUGCUGUUCAGCGCAGGAGGCUGUUAAGGCAGAACUAGUCCUCGGGCCUGCGCUGCUGGCAGGAUGUCUGCACGGUCCCCUGACCCGGACCGAGUGCCAUCAGCCCCCUGCGGGUGAACGCAUAGGAAGUCACCAGCACGCCCAAUGGUAGCGAACGAUUAAAAUAUCUUGUCUGCCCUCCAGUGCCCAUAGCUCUGCUCCCCACAAAGGGCACGGGGGCGGCGGAGGCCAGGCUUUGGCAGAGGUGAAAGUAAGACGGUACCGAGGACUGACUGCUGCCAGCUUGCAUAAACUGCUUCCUUAUGUUCCCAGGAUGUUGCUUCCUUGAACAACUUGAGUAAAGAUGGUGGUAUUGAAGAGACAUCAAGACAUCCCAACGGUACUGAUGGAAUGUUAUCCUCAUAAAUACUGCAUUCCUUUCUUGGCCACCCCAGCUCAAAAAGUGCACAGUAGAAUUGGAAAAAGCCCAAAAAAGGACAACAAAGGUGAUAGAAGCUUCCAGAUAAGGGGAGAUUUUAAAAGAUAAGGACUAUUUACUUUAGAGAGAAGAUAAAUAAGUAAUGCCAUAAUAGAGGUAGAACUGACCACAGUUCUUCCCAGUAUGCUUCCACACUGUGGCCAACUGUCAUGACCUGUCCUUUCCUGGACACACACCUUAUUCAACCCUAGUGUUUCUGGGUCACUAGAACAGCCUUUUGACCCCUCCAAUCUCCUGCUCAGGACCACCUGCCUGUAAAUAUCAAGCGAGCCUGGCUACUUUUCCAAACUCUGUUUCAAAACUUCUGCAGAUCUCUUCAAAACCCACCAACUGACGACGCCUCUAAACUCUUGGAUUUGAGAAAACACUACACUUUUAUUUAACCCAAAAAUUGUCAUUUACUGAUCUGAAGGAACAGGGCUGCCUUUCAGCAGACACUAGGAGGUGUGCAGCAGUGUAUCUGGAGAAUACAGGAUUGAGAGCAGAUGGUUGUGGGGAAAGAAGAAAAUCCAGCAUCCUUUCUCACUGGGUUCUGUGCUGAAGAUCUGGGCAGUGAACAUUUUUCUCCUUUCUCUCCUUUACCCCUGGAUACCUCCUUAUGCUUUCCAUAUUAAUAGUGGCAAUUUCUGAGUUGAGUACUUAGCUUUACACAGUAGUGUUCAUACAGGGGCGGCUCCUGGCACCAGCACGCCAAGCGCGUGCCUGGGGCGGCAAGCCAAGGAGGGAGCUCUGCCGGUCGCUGUGAGGGCGGCAAGCAGGUUGCCUUCAGCGGCAUGUCUGAGGAGGGUCUGCUGGUCCCGUGGCUUCGGCGGACCUCCUGCAGGCGUGCCACCAAAUCUGUGGGACCAGGGACCUCCUGCAGACAAGCCGCUGAAGGCAACCUGCCUGCCGUGCUUGGGGUGGCAAAAUACCUAGAGCCGCUCCUGCGUUCAUACCAUUGACAUUGGUGGAGUUGUACCUGACUUGGGAACUAGGCCCACUGGGUUGAGAGGGAAGAUUUUAUUUUAUAGCGGAAUACUCUCUUGGGGAGCUCCUUCUAGAUACUUGUCAACUGAAUUGCUUUACAAAGGUUGCAGGGCAUCUAUAGAUUUUAGAUGGAUGCUUGUUUAUUAAUAAGUUGAAAGAAUCAAAAUAACACUUUGGAUAGCUAUGUAGUAAAUGGAACUAUAUGGAAAAAAUGAUGGUACAAGCAGAAACAGAAACUAUCUUUCUACAUGCACUGGAAGUCAGCUGCACUGCAAGUUCCCUGCUUUACAUUCAGGGGCAGCGAGUUAUAUGGGCCUGUGGUGCCCAGGCUUCAGCAAUAUUCAGGGCACAGAGGGCCGGCUCCACCAAUGUUUGGGGCCGGGUCUCUCCCGCGCUCCUCUUCUGAGCAUCCCUGCCUGUGCCCUGGGCAGCGAGUGGCUGCCCCCUGCAGCUCCGCACUGCGCUUUGCUCUGCCAGCUCCUAGCAUCAACUGCUGCCACAGGGUCCUAGCACCCCCCCCAAACAAAUAGUGCCAGGGCAGGCUGACCCUCCCUGACCUUCUGCCUUGGAUGGAUGGACCCUUCCCUUUUCCGGUGCAACUCUCCACCAGCAUGGGAUUCCCGCCCCCCACAGUCACCGCUCCUGCUAGGCAAGGGGCAGCCCAUCCCCCACGCCCUGUGAGGCUACUGUGAAGGGGAGCAGCAGGGGAGGAGGUCACAUAUGAUGGCAGCCCCACUCCGCACCCACCACAGGGGAGAUGAGGGGGCUUCCUGGACCUGAGAGGGGCCCUAUGAGCGCAUGCAGUGACAGUGGUGCGAAGUGAGUCUACUGCCGGGGGGGGACCUUCCCCAGAGCUCACUGCUGCUGGCAGGGAGACGGAUGGGGGGAGUCCCCCUCUCUGGCCCCAGCUGGGAGUAGCCUGCCUGCACCCCAAACUCCUCAUCCAUGGCCUUGCCCCACCCCAGAGCCCACACCCCCAACCAGAGUCUUCACCCCUCCUGCAUCCCAACCCUCUGCCCCAGCCCUGAGCACCCUCUUCCAGCAUGAACCUCUCAUCCCCAGCCUCAUCCCAAAGCCCUCAUAUUUUUA
Molecule: long non-coding RNA, 2560 nt
Organism: Gopherus flavomarginatus (Mexican gopher tortoise)
Lineage: Eukaryota; Metazoa; Chordata; Testudines; Testudinidae
Exons: 5
Source: RefSeq, a predicted model, not a curated record